Molecule: long non-coding RNA, 1863 nt
Organism: Ictalurus furcatus (blue catfish)
Lineage: Eukaryota; Metazoa; Chordata; Actinopteri; Siluriformes; Ictaluridae
Exons: 3
Source: RefSeq, a predicted model, not a curated record
UAGCUCCUAUCUUGGGUGAAGUGAACGAGCCAGACACACACCCAGGAAACAUGGAGGCCGUAGCCGAAGGGGUGCGGUCCGCCUCGCGGUCACCAUUGAACAUAUAGUGAACGACACCCUGAUGGUGACGCUCACUUCCUGAGAUAGGAGCUACACAGGGAUUUUGCUCGAUUGCAACAAACAGUGAAAGGGUAUCAUUAUUAUAAUUUUGCUCUAAAGCACUAAGGCCAUAAGCUAAGCUGACUGCCGCAGAGAGACGGCUGCAAUAGCAAAGAGCACACGCCGCUUCUCCUUCAUCUCGUAGGAUAUGAUGUAUAUAUACACUCAUGGGUGUUUGUGUAGGGGAUGAGCGCCUUCUAGUGUUCACACUGUGUUUCUGCCUCACUGAUUUACUGCAGAACAUUGAGAGAGAGAAACAGAGAGACAGAGAGAGACAUAAAGAGAGAGAGAAUCGUGAUAACGAUCUGCAGAUGAUGUGAUCCAAAACCCGUGAACAUAUCAACAUUUCACAGCCCAACAUCCAACCUGCAGAAACGUACAGGUAAGCGAUUAGAUAAGAUAAGAUGUACCUUUAUUGACCCCCGUGGGGGAAAUUCACAAAGUGACACAGCAGCACAAGUAGGUUGAGUAUCAUCCAAAAAGAAAAAAGAAAGAAAGAAAGAAACCUGUAUAAUAGAAAUAAUAGAAACAGAUCUGUGUGUAUGUACAUAUGCUAGAUUUCUAUUUGUAUAUGUACAUGCGCACAGUCUGUGAAAUGAUAAUUAACUGUUGAGAGUGUUUCUGUGAGACUCAGUCAUUGGAGUAGGAGGUACUGGGUAUUGUUUCAUUGUGGAGGCUGAUGGCUGAUGGUACGAAAGAGCCCCCCAGAUGUUUUGAGGCACGUGGCUGGAUGAAUCUGCAGGACCUGAGCCUCCUCAGAAAAAACAUCCUGCUCUGUCCUUUCUUAUACAGGGCCUCAGUGUUGUCUGACCAGUCCAGUGUGUUAUUGAGUUUCACCCCUAGGAACUUGUAGGUGUCCACUAUCUCCACUCCCUCCCCCUUAUUUCGACAGGGUGGGGGGCCGCUUGCUGUCUCCUCUACCAGCUCCUUGGUUUUCCCGAUGUUGAGCUGGAGAUGGUUGUUGUCGCACCAUCUUAUAAAGCUUUCGAUAAGGUCUCUCUACUCCUCCUUAUUAUCUGUGAUACAACCAACGAUGGAGGAGUUAUCCGAAAACUUCUGUAGGUGGCACGUUCCCGAAUUGAAGCAGAAGUCAGAGGUGUAGAGGGUGAAGAAGAAUGGAGACAGUACAGUUCCCUGGGGUGCUCCAGUGUUGCUAGUCACCACGUCUAACAAACAGCCUUGGGACCUAGCUGAGAGAGCUAGACUAAACAGUCAGAUCUGUUGAUGUUUAUCAGUAUGAAUGCUCUGUAUUAAACUUAAUAUAUCACUUCGAUGUUCAGUAGCCAUCACCUGCUGUGUUAAAUAUGUCUGAGUACAGCCUGUAGGUAACACUCAGGAUAAUGUGUAAGGGAUUAGAGAUUUCUAUUGUCUGUUAUAAAUACACAGAUAGUUAACUAUAUAGCUAAAAAAAAACCCCAUGUGAAUUAACACAAGCUAGCUGGAUUUGAUCUGUUUGUGUGAAAUCCAGUUUGGUGUAAAUGCCUUGUACUCUGUCAUACUGUUUAAUACUUUCACCAGCAGGAGGCGACACAGCUCAUCUCUCUCUCUCUCUCUCUCUCUCUCUCUCUCUCUCUCUCUCUCACACACACACACACACACACACACACACACUCUCUCUCUCUCUCUCUCUCUCUCUCUCUCUCUCGCUCUCUUCUCAGUUAGACCCAGUGAAACUGAAAUAAAUCUUGAAACACUUAUGCUUUA